UACAGAGGGCCCGAGCGUUGUUCGGAUUCAUUGGGCGUAAAGGGUGCGUAGGCGGCGGGGCAAGUCUGAUGUGAAAUCCCGGGGCUCAACCCCGGAACUGCAUUGGAUACUGCUUUGCUAGAGUACUGGAGAGGGAACUGGAAUUUACGGUGUAGCAGUGAAAUGCGUAGAGAUCGUAAGGAAGGCCAGUGGCGAAGGCGAGUUCCUGGACAGUGACUGACGCUGAGGCACGAAGGCCAGGGGAGCAAACGGG
This 253-nucleotide ribosomal RNA is filed under the name uncultured bacterium. Its description in RNAcentral is "partial 16S ribosomal RNA". It matches the Rfam family "Bacterial small subunit ribosomal RNA", at positions 524 to 776 of the family's 1533-position model. The record is from RNAcentral.